This 506-nucleotide ribosomal RNA is filed under the name uncultured bacterium. Its description in RNAcentral is "partial 16S ribosomal RNA". It matches the Rfam family "Bacterial small subunit ribosomal RNA", at positions 30 to 523 of the family's 1533-position model. The record is from RNAcentral.
AUUGAACGCUGGCGGCAGGCCUAACACAUGCAAGUCGGGCGGUAACAGGAAUCAGCUUGCUGAUUCGCUGACGAGCGGCGGACGGGUGAGUAAUGUCUGGGAAACUGCCUGAUGGAGGGGGAUAACUACUGGAAACGGUAGCUAAUACCGCAUAACGUCUACGGACCAAAGUUGGGGACCUUCGUGCCUCAUGCCAUCAGAUGUGCGCAGAUGGGAUUAGCUAGGAGGUGGGGUAACGGCUCAACUAGGCGACGAUCGCUGGCUGGUCUGAGAGGAUGACCAGCCACACGGGGACUGAGACACGGUCCAGACUCCGACAGGAGGCAGCAGUGGGGAAUAUUGCACAAUGGGCGCAAGCCUGAUGCAGCCAUGCCGAGUGUAUGAAGAAGGCCUUCGGGUUGUAAAGUACUUUCAGCGGGGAGGAAGGUGUUGUGGUUAAUAACCGCAGCAAUUGACGUUACCCGCAGAAGAAGCACCGGCUAACUCCGUGCCAGCAGCCGCAGUAA